Molecule: long non-coding RNA, 2096 nt
Filed under: Eucalyptus grandis
Lineage: Eukaryota; Viridiplantae; Streptophyta; Magnoliopsida; Myrtales; Myrtaceae
Description: long non-coding RNA (EGRA_LNC006268)
Source: RNAcentral
AGCAAGUCCAUGCUCUAAACCCUGAUUAGGAGAGAAAUAAGCCUAUAAGUGUCCUAACCACACAAUCACACAAUUAGCACAGAAGACUUACAUCGCCUCAGUUUCUUCCUGCACGUCAGCACAAUUCAUAUCACAUUGGAAUAUCUCAGCAACUCAUUUAAUCACAAGAGUCCCGAUUAUAAGGUCCAACCAUUAUGACACGACACAUACCAUGCCACACGGUUUUGUCUCAUAAUUAGGUGCAUCCAACUCAGACAAUCAUGCGUUUCAAUUGUUAAAUAAGCCACUCAAGGCGCUGCUGACUUCCAUGUUUGGCAGUCUACUAGCGUAGCCAGGCAUCGUCUCUUCCCCAUGGAGCAUGGCUACGUCACAUUGAUAGCUAUCUUGAAUGAGCUUAGGUCCAGAAUCUACUGCGACCCACUACCCUAAUGCAUGGGUAACCCGAAGGUGGGAUUUAGUAACGUUCGGCUUAAAUGCUAGGAUGGGUUCUCUUUAAUCAACACACAACAAUUCAAUCUCGGCCUAGGACACCGUGCAUUGCACUCAAAGGCCUCAGUUAAGAUAAUGGUCCUAACCUAUUUUAUUCGUAUUAAAAACAUCUUGAAAAUAGUCGUGUGUGGGUACACGGUCAAUUCGAACCAGAAAACCGAUACCUUUCUUUUUCAAACCCCACUAUUUGAUAUAGUACUUAAAAUCUAUUUUCGGUGUUAAAACCCGACGCUCGAGAUUUUCUGAAUAAAUAUCAAAAUUCACAAAUUUUGAAGUAAUUUACCAAAUUUCCAAUCAACACUCAAUUUGCACAAAUUUACACUCAAUUCCAGAAUUUAACCACACCAUUACAAUCGGCACGAAAUUCUGGUCACCGACUAUCCCAGCCUAAUUUCAAUAAUUAUUUAACUAUUAAAUAUUUUCCAGAAAUUAGGCUGGGAUAGUCGGUGACCAGAAUUUUGUGCCAAAUAAAUUAUUCUAACAUCCUAGCUAUAUAACAACACACUAACCUAAUUAACUUAUAAUUUCUAACCACCUAAUUAAAUAAUCUAACUAACCUAAUUUAACUAACUAAACUAAUAAUUAAACUAAUUGCACUUAAAUAAAUCUAAACACCCCUUAGAUGCAUUAGCCUAUUAAGAAGAGUUUAGUGCAUAAACUCACUGGUGUAUCAUGAAAACCAGUUCACCGCGACGACGGCGUGACGGCAGCCAAAACUUGAGUUUGUGAUGGUGUCGACAUAGCUUGGACCAGGCUUAAACUUGGCCCAACAAAUCUCAACCCAAAUCUGAGAUUUGCUUUUGAAUUGGGCUGGGCCCAAAGCGGGCUGACUUCACGGGCUUGGGCUGCUGAAUUGAGCUAGCCGUUGGGCCCAAAACUUGGCUAAGUUGGGCUAGACUGAACUGCUAAACAAGGGCCGAAGUUGCUGGACCUCAAAUGGCUGGGCUUGAAGAAAUCGCUGGCUUCAAUCGGUAGUAGGAAGCUGGGCUUCGCUGGUCUCGUGUUGAAGACGUUGGGCAAUGGGCCGUGAAGACACGCGAAGAUGGGAGCUGAGGGAGAUGGGCCUAAUGCUGGGCCGGUCGCUGAAGCUGAUUGUUGGCUGGACAAGCAGCCGGCGUGUGCUAGGGUCUUCAGGCUGGCAGACGAAGGAACAUACCGUGUACGUGCGGCAGCUGCUUCGGUGCUGGACAACGCACGAAGGAACGUAGAUGCUGGUGUCUUCGGUGGAUGCGUGGAUGAGGGGCGUCAACAAACCGUUACUAGUUGACUCACGGAUGCUGCUGUGGACGCGUGGAGUUGCUGCUCCGUGGAAUGUGGGCUGAGCAGAAAGAGAGCUUCGGUGGUGUUGCAGUUAAUGGGUGAGAGGAAGAUGCGAGGAAAUUUGGAGUGUUGCGGUCAACGAAAUAGAGAGAGAAAGUGGAGGAGAUCGUGGGGGUUGAUGGGCAGAUGGUGGAAUGGAGCGACUGAAGGUGUUGGAUGAUGCACGAAGAAAGGAGGAGGAAGGGUAGCUUCGAAGGAAAAAACAGAAAUGAAAGAAAGGCAAAAGUUGAGAGAGAGGUUCGGUUGCUUCGCAUGCGAGAAGGAGACCGAAGAAAAAGGGAAACCGG